CCCAAAUGUGCCAAGUCCUAACUGAGUCAGGACCCCAACGGAGCCCUAUCACCUACCCAGACCUCGUGAGACUCCCAUGAACGGCCCAGAGUUUGGCCCAGGUUGAGGCCACUGCCCUCCCCUCUAAACCCCUGCCAGGCCUGCAGCUCACUCAAGCCCACGCUUAAGACCCUGCCUACCCCUUCUCUUGGGGUCCCCUGCUCUCCACCAGCCAGCCCGGCUCCUCACACAGAUACUGCUCAGGCCCCAGGGAGUGGGAGGCCUCCCAGAGAUUAGCCCUUGUUGGCUCAAUGAACCUCUCAGCACAGCCUGCCGGCGGGUGAGAGCCCAGUAAGGGUGGAAAAGAGAACCUGCACCUGUCCAAGAGGGCAGGAGACAGCUCCUGUGGCCGGAGACAGCGGGGGCCCUGGCUGUCGGAAAGAGAGGUGCAAGGAGAGGAGGCGACCCCAGUGUGUCCUCAUUGACAUGGCUGGACCAGGCACCUGUAAGCCAUUAGGGUUGGCCAAAGGCAUGCAGGGAGUGGGUGUUUGUUUUGGGCACUCCCAGAGACGUGAGACAUUUGGAAUUGUUAGGAUGUUUCCCUCUGUUGCAGGGCAUCUGCGGGGCUGGGGGUGUCCGUGCAGCAAGGGUGGGCGGCUGAGAUCGGUCUACACCCUGGGCCUGCUGGAGUGGUUUACACCCAGGGCCACAUUUUGAGCCACGAUGUUCCUGUUGUGAGAGGACAACAGAAGGGCGGCAUCUGGGGUCCCGCUGACCCUUGCACUCCUGGGAGCGGAUUCUGUGAACCUCUCAGGCCCAUCUACCGCUGUGAGGACCACCUCCACAGGGGAAGCUGUGGCCGCCAUCAACCGCGAAGGCCGGGAGGGGUUCCCGUCCGGGUCCUUGAGCCUUGAGAAACUCGGGGCCCUUCGGAAGGAAGCCGGAUCAUGGAGGACAGGAGACUUCUGACCCCCAGGAGGCAUUCCCCGAAGGCUGCGCGGUUGCUGCUGCUGUUGCUGCUGCUGCUGCUGCUGCUGCUGCAGCUGUGUGUGGGCCCUUCCCGGUGCCUUGCCUCUCACCCUAUCCCGAGGACUGGCUGCCUGGAAGCUCCAGGGAUGCUGGGAAGAGAAUGCAACUCUCCUGAUGAAGAGCCCACAAUGGAUCCUAGCCUAUUCUCUCCAGUCUGAAUUUCUCACCUGAUUUGACGUCUGUGCAUAUGCAGUGCUGCUAAUGUCCAGAAGAGAAUGUGCAUAUAAAGAAAUGAGGUGUUCUUCCUCUUUAAAGAAUCAAUAAAUCAUUUAUAAUGCCUCCAGUAGAUUGAUAACAACAUAAUGAAGUCAAUAGUUUGCAUGUGUACUUUGAAUUAUAAUGCUAACCAUUUUUAUGAGGUCUAACAUAAAAUAGAGCUGGUGAGGAGCAGGGUAGAGAACUUGAGACCAGCCACAACCUUCCCUAAUAUGUCCCAUAUGGGGGCUUUGCAGCUCCAGGCAGGUCCAGGGCAGUCCCUGGGUCCCCAGGUCAUUGCUGUGCAAAUGAGUCUGUAGCCUGGUGCUCAGCUAAGUUCUUGUAAAUGGGGCUAUGGCCAGGAAAGGUGGAAACUACCCGUUUUUUGUGUGUGUGUGUUUUUUUUUAAUCUGGCACAAAAGAAUUGGAAUUUUGAAAUUUCUGGUCUGUCUUGUGACUUACAGGCAGAUGCUAACAACCACAAAAUACUAACUGUCCCAGCACCAAAGGCCAAGGGCACAAGCCUUCCCCAGUUCCUCAUGCCAGGUGGUGGCUACCACUAAUAUUUUUUUCUCUUUUUAAAGUUUUAUUGAGAUAUAGUUCAUAUAUUAUACAAUUCACUCACUUAAAGUAUAUAAUUCAGUGGCUUUUGUAUUAUAUUAUUAAUUUAAAAAUUGGGUAAAAUAUACAUAACAUAAAAUUUGUCAUUCUAACCAUUUUUAAGUGGACAAUUCAGUGGCAUUAAUUACAUUCAUAGUGUUGUGGUUACUGCUAUUCAUUUCCAAAACUCUUUCAUCACUCCAAAUAGAAACUUUGUAAUCAUUAACCAGUAAGUGCCCGCAUUUCCUCCCUCCAGCCACUGGUAACCACUAUUCUACUUUCUGUGUCUCUGAAUUUGCCUAUUCUAGGUACAUCAUGUAAGUGUAAUCAUACAUUAUUUAUCAUUUUAUAUCUGGCUUAUUCCAUUUAGCAUAACGCUUUUGAGGUUUAUCCACGUUGUAGGAUGUAUUGCACCUUCAUUCCUUUUUAUGGCUGAAUAACAUUCCAUUGCGUGUACACACCGUGCUUUGUUUAUCCACCCAUCUGUCAAUGGACACUUGAGUUGUUUUCAUCUUUUGGCUAUUGUGAAUAAUGCUGCUAUGAAUGUAGGUAUACAAAUAUCUCUUUGAAACCUUGCUUUCAAUUAUUUUGACUACAUACCCAGAUAUGAAAUUGCUGGGCCAUAAGAUAAUUCUAUGUUUAAGUUUUUGAGGAGCCACCAUACUAUUCUUCCCAGCAGCUGCACCAUUUUAUAUUCCCACCAGCAAUGCACAAGCCUUCCAAUUUCCCCACGUUCUCACUAAUAUUUGUUAUGCUCUCUCUUUCUCUGUAUUUUGGAUAUCCUACUUGGUGUGAGGUAGUAUCUCAUUGUGGUUUUGAUUUGCAUUUCCCUAAUGAUCUGUCAUGUCGAGCAUCUUUUCAUGCACUUAUUUAAAAAAUUUAAAAAAUUUUUAGUAGAGAUCGGGGGGGUCUCACUAUUGCCCACACUGGUCUCGAACUCCUGGCCUUAAGUGAUCUGCCCACCUUGGCUUCCC
Molecule: long non-coding RNA, 2777 nt
Filed under: Macaca fascicularis (crab-eating macaque)
Lineage: Eukaryota; Metazoa; Chordata; Mammalia; Primates; Cercopithecidae
Description: lncRNA (ENSMFAG00000052900.1)
Source: RNAcentral